The sequence is a ribosomal RNA, 361 nucleotides long. The stretch from base 1 to 167 matches the Rfam family "Archaeal large subunit ribosomal RNA", at positions 1949 to 2143 of the family's 2987-position model.
ACCUGCCCUAUGAAUAAUUUAUUUUAAAUGGCCGCGGUAUUUUGACCGUGCAAAGGUAGCAUAAUAAUUAGUUUCUUAAUUGGGAACUGGAAUGAAUGGUCGAACGAGAAAAAGACUGUCUCAAUUUAAUUUAAAUUAGAAUUUUAUUUUUAAGUAAAAAAGCUUAAAUAUUCUUAAAAGACGAGAAGACCCUAUAGAGUUUUAUAUAAUUUAUUAUAAUUGAAAAUUAAAGUAUCUUAGAUUUAGUUAUAAUAGUUUAUAUUUGGUUGGGGCGAUUAAAAAAUUUAAUUAACUUUUUUUAGUUUUAAACCAUUGAUUUAUGAAUAAAUGAUCCAUAUUUUAUGAUUAAAAGAUUAAAUUA